This is a non-coding RNA of Borealophlyctis nickersoniae, 102 nucleotides long. Lineage: Eukaryota; Fungi; Chytridiomycota; Chytridiomycetes; Rhizophlyctidales; Borealophlyctidaceae. The record is from the annotation of a GenBank genome assembly.
CCGGCCUUAGCUUAGUUGGUAGAGCAUCAGACUGUAGUGGAACCGGUUCCUGCCGGUUACAAUGAAAUCUGAGGGUCUCCGGUUCGACUCCGGAAGGCCGGA